GGACAUGUUAAAAUAGUUCAGGCUCUCAAAGAGUUUUUUCAUACAGAUAAGAAGGCAGACAUAUAAAGCAGACAAAUAAUAUCCUAGAUGACUGGAUGGUUGGCCUUUACCAUGUUGUCCAAGUUAGACUGAUGUACACUUUUCUAGAUUAAAUAAGCACAUAUUAAUAACAUUUGCUGUUAGGUAAUAGUAGUUUAUGGAUAAAACAUGACAUAAUUGAGAAAUUUCAAAGUUGGGAGAUAACUUUAAGGCUAUCUCUAGUUGAUUUCUUUGGAAGAGGGAUUGGGUAUAUCAAUUUAAAAAUGAUUUAUCCCCUUUCCCACCAAUGUUUUGGCCAUAAGUACAUCAUUAAUAUCAUCAAUUAAUAAAUGUUUCAUUGACAACUGAUUAUCAUCACCAUUUUGGAGUCCACAGAAGCUUGCUUUGCCCCUUCCUCAGCAAGACUCCAGUCAUUCAUGACACUUAGGUACCCAAUAUUUCCAUUUUUCUCAAGUGAUAUUUUCACUAAGAACUCAAUUUCCAUCUUAAAUGAGUGGCAAAUGAGAUUAUUUUUAAAAGCAAGCUUAAACAGAGAAUGUUUACUCCUUAACAAACCCUGCACGAGCCUACCCUAGGAUAACAAUCAUUUCCAAAACUUUUAAUAACUGUUAUCUGUCUAGACAUCAACUCAUAGGAAGAAAGCAGAAAUGGCUGUCGAAGGGUAAAACAAUCAGCAUCUCAAAGAUGAAGAAUUUGGGCACAGCAAAGAUGCCAGUUUAUAGGAAGAGGUAAGCAAUUUUGUCUUGUCUCUGAUAGGGAAAGAGGGAGUCCGAAAUAAAAUGACUUUCAAGUUUUGUGGGCCUGUUUACAUAUACACUAGCAUGUGGGAAUGUGGCUACAACCCUGUGAGAUGAACAGGACAGAUACUGUUAUCUCCACUUUAUAAAUGAAGCAACUCAAGAAGAGUUGAAGCAGUGGCAGGGCCAGAAGUCCCUCUAGUUGGUACCCAGUGAGUUUUUAUUAUUCCUGUCCCCUUAAAACCAAGGGUUAGAUAAGGGUACCAGGUCAUCUAUUAAUUUAAUGUAUUGAGGAUAUUAUAAUGUACAGCAGGAAAAAUGGAGAGUGAGAUAUACUUCAACUGCUUAGAACUGUAAUUAUCUGAGACUUGUAAAUCCAGGGUGCUUAUGCAUGCCAAAGUUGAUGCUUAGAACGUUAAGCUUUAUUACAAAACCUGGAGGCAUUUCAAGUGCAUCUCUUUAGUUUCAUAUUUUUUCCCUCUUGUGCUAUUUGAAGGGAGGGGUUGCUCAAUGUUGAGGAUGGGUUGGGAUCAGAAGGAAGAAAAAGAUUUAUGGAGACUAUGCAAGGGAGGCCAUGGAGUGUCUGUUGUGUGGGAGGCUGCAUUUCGCAGGGUAAAACAGACAUUUUCACGAAAGCACAUCUAGAUCUUAACGAAGAGAAGCAAGAGAUAAGCCUUAUCAGAGAAAAAGAAAAGACACGUAGGAAUAACAUUGUGUUUAUUUUAAUAGAAAAGCAUGAAAUAUGUUUUGGGAUGCAUCCAAAUGCGUGCUCAGUAAAAGGAGCGAAAGAUAGUGUCAUAAGAUUUGUAGGCUUAUCUAGCUUUCCAAAAACAAGUAUUAUAUGUAAAUAUUGGUUUAUUACUAUUCUCUAUAAUUAUAUUAGUUGGAGGAUAUGGCACAACAAAGGACAAACUAAAAUUUAUAUUCUCUCAGAAAUAUUUGAUAUAUCAGUAUAGUUCACUGGCCGGAGUUCCUAUAUCCCUCUCACUGGAAAUUUGAACAGAUAGUCUCUCAUACUUAACAUGUCUAAACUUAUUGUGCAAAGAAGCACGCUACUAAAUCUAUGACUGCCAUAAAUUCAUAAAGAAUGAAGGCAUGUAGGUGAGAGGUAAGGGUGCAUCGUUGUCAACAUAUGUCAUUUCAGGGGGCAUUUUCUGUUUGUAGGAGGUCUGUAAAGCUAUCACUCCACUCUACUGAUGCCCUCACUAACUUGACAAAAUCACUGAAUGUCUUUGUUUCUCCUGUUGCCUUCCGGUACCCAACCACCUCAGUCACCAACUUCACUGAAUGAAGAGGGAGCCUAGUUAACAUGGGAAAGAGGAGGCUUGUAUUAGAGGAAGAGGAAUGUACUAGGUCACAGGAUGGGCAAGAAGAACAGACAAUGCAGGAUUAUGGGAAGAGCAACUGAUUCAACUUGUGACUUUGUAAAUGGUUAUUCUAUCUGUUAGCCAGUUAAUUACUUAACAUCAUUAAACCUCAGUCCCUUUCAUCUACAAAAUGGGUAUAAUAUAAUAAUGCCUACCUAUCUGAUAUAACUAGUAAGUAGUUCAAUUCAGAUAAUAUA
This is a long non-coding RNA of Sapajus apella (tufted capuchin), 2340 nucleotides long. RefSeq lists it as uncharacterized. The transcript has 3 exons. The record is from RefSeq and is a predicted model, not a curated record. NCBI's taxonomy places the organism in Eukaryota, Metazoa, Chordata, Mammalia, Primates, Cebidae.